UCCAGACUCCUACGGGAGGCAGCAGUGGGGAAUAUUGCACAAUGGGGGAAACCCUGAUGCAGCAACGCCGCGUGAGUGAAGAAGUAUUUCGGUAUGUAAAGCUCUAUCAGCAGGGAAGAGAAUGACGGUACCUGACUAAGAAGCCCCGGCUAACUACGUGCCAGCAGCCGCGGUAAUACGUAGGGGGCAAGCGUUAUCCGGAUUUACUGGGUGUAAAGGGAGCGUAGACGGCUGGCCAGGUCUAAAGUGAAAGCCCGGGGCUUAACCCCGGAACGGCUUUGGAAACUGGCCGGCUGGAGUGCUGGAGAGGCAGGCGGAAUUCCUGGUGUAGCGGUGAAAUGCGUAGAUAUCAGGAGGAACACCGGUGGCGAAGGCGGCCUGCUGGACAGUAACUGACGUUGAGGCUCGAAAGCGUGGGGAGCAAACAGGAUUAGAUACCCUCGUA
Molecule: ribosomal RNA, 445 nt
Filed under: uncultured bacterium
Lineage: Bacteria
Description: bacterial SSU rRNA
Rfam family: Bacterial small subunit ribosomal RNA
Source: RNAcentral